This 272-nucleotide ribosomal RNA is filed under the name uncultured bacterium. RNAcentral's name for it is "partial 16S ribosomal RNA". It matches the Rfam family "Bacterial small subunit ribosomal RNA", at positions 336 to 607 of the family's 1533-position model. The record is from RNAcentral.
UUCCUACGGGGCGCAGCAGUGGGGAAUAUUGCACAAUGGGGGAAACCCUGAUGCAGCGACGCCGCGUGAGUGAAGAAGUAAUUCGUUACGUAAAGCUCUAUCAGCAGGGAAGAAACACUGACCUUACGGUCAGCAGACGGUACCUGAGUAAGAAGCCCCGGCUAACUACGUGCCAGCAGCCCCGGUAAUACGUAGGGGGCAAGCGUUUUCCGGAUUUACUGGGUGUAAAGGGAGCGUAGACGGCAGCAGACGUCUUGAGUGAAAUCCCUCGG